Molecule: ribosomal RNA, 254 nt
Filed under: uncultured bacterium
Lineage: Bacteria
Description: partial 16S ribosomal RNA
Rfam family: Bacterial small subunit ribosomal RNA
Source: RNAcentral
UACGAAGGGGGCUAGCGUUGCUCGGAAUCACUGGGCGUAAAGCGCACGUAGGCGGUUUCUUAAGUCAGGGGUGAAAUCCUGGAGCUCAACUCCAGAACUGCCUUUGAUACUGGGAGACUUCGAGUCCGGAAGAGGUGAGUGGAACUGCGAGUGUAGAGGUGAAAUUCGUAGAUAUUCGCAAGAACACCAGUGGCGAAGGCGGCUCACUGGUCCGGUACUGACGCUGAGGUGCGAAAGCGUGGGGAGCAAACAGG